Oncorhynchus nerka (sockeye salmon) is the source of this 973-nucleotide long non-coding RNA. RefSeq lists it as uncharacterized. The transcript is spliced from 3 exons. Lineage: Eukaryota; Metazoa; Chordata; Actinopteri; Salmoniformes; Salmonidae. The record is from RefSeq and is a predicted model, not a curated record.
GGGUAAGGAAGGAGCUUUUGUGGUGCGAGACUCCAGGCAUGCAGGCGUCUACACUGUGUCUGUCUUCACUAAAGCCCCAGGAUCCAACGGGCAGAAGAACCCGCGGGUGAAGCGCUACCAGAUCAGACAGUCAGAGGCAGAGGAGACGUCCACGUUUUACCUGGCAGAGAAAUACCUGUUCAGCACCAUUCCUGAGCUCAUCCAGUACCACCAACACAACGCUGCAGGUCUGAUCACACGACUGAGGCAUCCUUUCUCUCAGGGUAGAGAGAGCUCUCAGAGCCCUGCGGAACUCUCAGAAGGUCAGAGGUUGACCUGCUGCUUCUGUCUCCAGGCAGCCAGCAGCAAUUUUGUUUGGUUAUUGAUUAUGGAAGGUAUCAUAGAGAUAGUUAGAGGACUCAUUUUUGCAUCUGUGCCAUUAUAGUGUCUGUUACAGCAUGGGCAGAUGAGUCCUCUAACAAUCUCUAUGGAAGUUUCCUAAUCCUGAAUUACAUGACAAUUCUAAAGAUCAAACACAAAGCAGAUAACACACCAGACGCUUAUAUGUUAUAGAUAAGUUACUGUGUAAUAAAGAUAUGCUUAAACAACGCAUAUGCAUGAUCGUGAGAAUUGGCAUGUGUUUUGCUAUUCUAAAAGCAUUAGGACUGUGAUGACAUAAGUGGUGAUGUAAGGUAGACUUGUGUGAUGAGGUACCCAGGUGUAGCAGCCCCAGCUGUUACCAAUAGGCAGGCAGCUCCACCACACCCUGAAAACGUCCAGGCAGGAGGGACUACCUGGAGGAGAAUGUGGCAGGCAACCACAGUGUACCAUGUUGUGUUCAGCCUUGAUGUAUUUUCCAAUAAUUGCAUUAGUAUGUCAUUAUUACCUCUGCACUCUCUCUCCCCCUUCCCCUCUUUCCUUCCUCCCUCUCCCCCUCCCUCUCUCUCCCCCUCGCCCCUCCCUCCUUCUCCCCCUCCCUCUCUCUUCCCCUAAA